GAUGAACGCUGGCGGCGUGCCUAAUACAUGCAAGUCGAGCGAACAGACGAGGAGCUUGCUCCUCUGACGUUAGCGGCGGACGGGUGAGUAACACGUGGAUAACCUACCUAUAAGACUGGGAUAACUUCGGGAAACCGGAGCUAAUACCGGAUAAUAUAUUGAACCGCAUGGUUCAAUAGUGAAAGACGGUUUUGCUGGCACUUAUAGAUGGAUCCGCGCCGCAUUAGCUAGUUGGUAAGGUAACGGCUUACCAAGGCAACGAUGCGUAGACGACCUGAGAGGGUGAUCGGCCACACUGGAACUGAGACACGGUCCAGACUCCUACGGGAGGCAGCAGUAGGGAAUCUUCCGCAAUGGGCGAAAGCUUGACGGAGCAACGCCGCGUGAGUGAUGAAGGUCUUCGGAUCGUAAAACUCUGUUAUUAGGGAAGAACAAAUGUGUAAGUAACUAUGCACGUCUUGACGGUACCUAAUCAGAAAGCAACGGCUAACUACGUG
This 497-nucleotide ribosomal RNA is filed under the name uncultured bacterium. RNAcentral's name for it is "partial 16S ribosomal RNA". It matches the Rfam family "Bacterial small subunit ribosomal RNA", at positions 28 to 507 of the family's 1533-position model. The record is from RNAcentral.